RNAcentral lists this unclassified non-coding RNA (168 nucleotides) under uncultured Acremonium. RNAcentral's name for it is "sequence contains ITS1". The record is from RNAcentral. Lineage: Eukaryota; Fungi; Ascomycota.
CCAAGAGUGCCUUCAGGCUCUCCAACCCACUGUGAACAUACCUAAGUUCCCUCGGCGGGCUCAGCGCGCGGCGGUCCUCCCGGGCCCGCGCGUCCGCCGGGGGCCAGCAAACUCGAAUUUACUACGUGUAUCUCUGAGGGGCGAAAGCCCGUAAAACAAAAUGAAUCA